UUUCCGUAGGUGAACCUGCGGAAGGAUCAUUAACGAGUUAGGGUCUUCCAGGCCCGACCCCCCAACCCUAUGUUUAUUGAACCUCUGUUGCUUCGGCGGACCCGCCUCACGGCCGCCGGAGGACCGCUGCAAGGCGUCCUCUGGCCAGCGUCCGCCGAUGGCCAACCACUUAAACUCUGAAUGAAUCGUGUCAUAUGUCUAAGUCUAUGAUUAAAUUAAAGCAAAACUUUCAACAACGGAUCUCUUGGUUCUG
This 253-nucleotide unclassified non-coding RNA is filed under the name plant metagenome. Its description in RNAcentral is "partial contains small subunit ribosomal RNA, internal transcribed spacer 1, and 5.8S ribosomal RNA". The record is from RNAcentral.